GAUGAAGAACGCAGCGAAAUCCGAUAAGUAAUGUGAAUUGCAGAAUUCAGUGAAUCAUCGAAUCUUUGAACGCACAUUGCGCCCGCCAGUAUUCUGGCGGGCAUGCCUGUUCGAGCGUCAUUACAACCCUCAGGCCCCCGGGCCUGGCGUUGGGGAUCGGCGGAGCCCCCCGUGGGCACACGCCGUCCCCCAAAUGCAGUGGCGGUCCCGCCGCAGCUUCCAUCGCGUAGUAGCUAACACCUCGCGACUGGAGAGCGGCGCGGCCACGCCGUAAAACACCCAACUCUUCUGAAGUUGACCUCGAAUCAGGUAGGAAUACCCGCUGAACUUAAGCAUAUCAAUAAGCGGAGGA
RNAcentral lists this unclassified non-coding RNA (352 nucleotides) under soil metagenome. Its description in RNAcentral is "partial contains 5.8S ribosomal RNA, internal transcribed spacer 2, and large subunit ribosomal RNA". The stretch from base 1 to 120 matches the Rfam family "5.8S ribosomal RNA", at positions 35 to 154 of the family's 154-position model. The record is from RNAcentral.